Molecule: ribosomal RNA, 433 nt
Filed under: uncultured bacterium
Lineage: Bacteria
Description: partial 16S ribosomal RNA
Rfam family: Bacterial small subunit ribosomal RNA
Source: RNAcentral
AACGAACGCUGGCGGCAUGCCUAACACAUGCAAGUCGAGCGAGACCUUCGGGUCUAGUGGCGCACGGGUGCGUAACGCGUGGGAACCUGCCCUUAGGUUCGGAAUAACUCCCCGAAAGGGGUGCUAAUACCGGAUAAUGUCUUCGGACCAAAGAUUUAUCGCCUUUGGAUGGGCCCGCGUUGGAUUAGCUAGUUGGUAGGGUAAAAGCCUACCAAGGCGACGAUCCAUAGCUGGUCUGAGAGGAUGAUCAGCCACACUGGGACUGGGACACGGCCCAGACUCCUACGGGAGGCAGCAGUGGGGAAUAUUGGACAAUGGGCGAAAGCCUGAUCCAGCAAUUCCGCGUUAGUGAUGAAGGCCUUAGGGUUGUAAAGCUCUUUUACCCGGGAUGAUAAUGACAGUACCGGGAGAAUAAGCUCCGGCUAACUCCGUG